UACGUAGGAUGCAAGCGUUGUCCGGAAUUACUGGGCGUAAAGGGCUCGUAGGCGGCCAACUAAGUCCGACGUGAAAUCCCUCGGCUUAACCGGGGGACUGCGUCUGAUACUGGAUGGCUUGAGUUUGGGAGAGGGAUGCGGAAUUCCAGGUGUAGCGGUGAAAUGCGUAGAUAUCUGGAGGAACACCGGUGGCGAAGGCGGCAUCCUGGACCAACACUGACGCUGAGGAGCGAAAGCCAGGGGAGCAAACGGG
RNAcentral lists this ribosomal RNA (253 nucleotides) under uncultured bacterium. RNAcentral's name for it is "partial 16S ribosomal RNA". It matches the Rfam family "Bacterial small subunit ribosomal RNA", at positions 524 to 776 of the family's 1533-position model. The record is from RNAcentral.